Molecule: non-coding RNA, 110 nt
Organism: Cinara cedri
Lineage: Eukaryota; Metazoa; Arthropoda; Insecta; Hemiptera; Aphididae
Source: the annotation of a GenBank genome assembly
AGACUGAAGUGUAGAGACUAGAGUGCUAAGUAGUAGCGCCAACGGUGAAUUGAAUUUAAAUAUGUCACCUGCGUACUACUGCUUACCAUUCUGGUCUCCUAAUUACAUCU